UUUUUAACCUAAGGGUUUUUUUUCGGUUUUUAAGGUUUUAGGUAAAGGGGUUAGGGGUAAUUAGGACGUUUGGGGUCGUUGCGGCUUUUCUUUAUGAAAGUCGGCUCCUCUUAAAUGCAUUAGCGGAAAACCUUUGUGGACCGUCUUUUGGUGUGAUAAUUAUCUACGCCAUUGCCGCGAAGCAGUUCAUUUUACAAUGGGGACUUUCAGCUUCAAACCGUCCCAGAUGGGACUACACUUCAUUGACAUUUUGACCUCAAAUCAGGUAGGACUACCCGCUGAACUUAAGCAUAUCAAUAAGCGGAGGA
Molecule: ribosomal RNA, 308 nt
Filed under: uncultured fungus
Lineage: Eukaryota; Fungi
Description: eukaryotic LSU rRNA
Rfam family: Eukaryotic large subunit ribosomal RNA (bases 252-308)
Source: RNAcentral